GAGGGUGUAGCUCAGUGGUAGAGCGCAUGCCUAGCAUGCACAAGGUCCUGGGUUCAAUCCCCAGUACCUCCA
RNAcentral lists this transfer RNA (72 nucleotides) under Camelus bactrianus (Bactrian camel). It matches the Rfam family "tRNA". Rfam says of the family: Transfer RNA (tRNA) molecules are approximately 80 nucleotides in length. Their secondary structure includes four short double-helical elements and three loops (D, anti-codon, and T loops). Lineage: Eukaryota; Metazoa; Chordata; Mammalia; Artiodactyla; Camelidae. The record is from Rfam by way of RNAcentral. RNAcentral also lists the same sequence under 2 other names.